CUAUAACCUACCCACACACACUAUAACCACCACCACACUAUAACCACCACCACACUAGCUGUCUCUCAUCCUGUGACUGUGUUUGUUUGUCAGGAGGAGGAGAUAAGAGAGACAUGAUUCCACUAAAUGAUAUGGGACCAGAUGCCUACUCCACACUGGACCAGAGGGGGAGGAAGAACACUCUGGACGGAACACUGGAGCCUGCUGACAAAAGACACAGCACAGGGAGGGCUGUAUGAGGAGAGGCGGGACUCUGUUCCUCUCAUGGACUCUUAUGACGGUUAGGCCACACCCCUCCCACACACUGCAUGUGAGCGCAUGAGAAACUGAUAGUGUGCAUCACUAGAAGAGAGCAGCCUCUACCGGCCUACUGCCCCUGCUGAACCUCUGGACACUCACUGAGGGACCACUGACUCCACUAGAACUGGACUCUCUCCUUCUGUGUCUUUUUCUCUUUCCUUUCUCUCUUUUUCCUCUCUCCUCUCAAUUUCUUAAUCUUCUUUCCCUCUUAUCUCUCUCGGGGUCUGUGACAUAAGCCACUUGCAUGACCUUCAGCCUUCCUCACCUCCCCAGCUCUCCCUCAUUCCUCUAUUUAGACUGUGCCUUUUAGCCACUAAAGGAACACUAUGGACUCCUGACAUCCCUCUUCUACCUGUCCACACUACUAUGACAUAAGACCACUUCUAAUUUAGUAACUCCUCCCACCACAGUGACACACUAACCCCCAACACUACACUAACUCCUCCCACCACAAAAGGGACAGUUGUGACUUCAUCUGGGAACUGGGAAUGUUCACCACCACAGUAACAAAGCUAAUCAAAAGGGAACUGUUGGAAUGGGAUUCAAACUGUAACUGAACUUAAACUGACAAACUCCUUUUUUUAAUGGAAUGGUUCAAACUGCAUUUCUACAAGUGAUUGUGAAGAUUUCCAGUCAAGGUUUUUUUUCUUCUUGUGAUAACUAAUUACCACUAAACUUCUGUUUCCCAACAAAGAAUCAAUGUUUGUCGAUCUACCGCCAGUGUUGCUUUGGUCUUUGUUUGAGGUGUGAUUGCUGAGUUGUGGUUCUGACUACAGUGAUGAACACGUGCCAAACUACACACCACUAUUGCAGUAACUUUCUACUACAGAGUAUUUCUGAACACUACUUCUCUUCUCAGAGCCAUCUGUUGUGAUGUUCUAGUGUAUAUGACAUCAUUGGGUGAUGUCAGACAGGCACUGGUGUGCCAUUGGGCAGUGUUGUGGGAAAGUAAGUAGCUUGACGACCACUUUAACAUUUUACACAUGGGUCUUGCGUCACAGAACAUUCUUGAUCGUCUGUUCUGCAGAUUAUAUUUCUAUGAUUUUCACCCAUGUAUAAUAGACCAGUGAACCGUUUCGGCUCUAUUCAAUACAUUUAUAUCUGUGUGGCUCUUUAGCGUCAUUGUUAUACCCCCUUUCUCAACUCGCUCUGGUUCUAAUGGUUCUCCUGAAGCUAUGGGAGAAACCACAGAUUUGAUUGUUGAUCCAGUGACUGCAUUUCUUUCAAUCUGCAAAUCUCUAUAUAUAUGAAUGUGUAAAUAUGUGAUCGCCUUCAACUACGUCUGUGUGGCUCAUGGCUAACUGGAGUGCCUCGUUCGGUGGUGUUUUUAAGGUGGGAUGGGGGGUUUCCCUGGGGGUAUCAUUCACUAGCAGCAACAUUCCAGAACAUUGAAUCCAAAUGGAAUGUAUAGAACAGUUUUUUGUGUGUGUUCCGCAUAAUAACACAAUGGAAUGUAUAGAGUUGAUAUGAUUGAUGCUCUGCAUAUGGAACAGAGAGAACCAUUCUAGUGCCAUACGUUCCACGUCAGACUGGAGUGUUCCAGCCUACUGAACCUACGCCUGGGUGUCCAUCUACCCUGCUGGACUGGCUGGUGUCCAUGGAGACCACAGAACACUAAGAGGGGAGAGGACACAUUUAGCUGGUUGUUUCCCUCCAGACUGAGUUCCUUUAGUACCGUAGACAACAUUAUUAUUCUCAGUGCAGAGUAAGAUGUAGAUAUUUUCUCAGUAGAUUAAAGCACUAGGGGUAAAAGCGUUUCUUGGUUCCUUUGAUUAUUUUCAUGCCAAUCCAACACUACAAAUGGUCAGUCUCAGAAAAAUGUAAAUGAGUUGCCUUGUAACCAGAUAUAGUCCUAGAAUGAGAUGAUCUAGAACUGAUACAGGAAAUGAUGUGGGAGUGGAAUCCAAUGGGAAAGUGGGACUAAAGAGGGGCGGAGCAUAACAUUAAAUUAGCAAGAUUUGUAUAAGUGCAAUGACCUGAUUUUGAUUCUAGUUGCUAUUUAAAAAAUAAAUAAAAUAAAAAGCAAAAUGUAACUAUAUAUAGAAGAUAAAUAUUUGUUAAUUUUACUGGUUUUAUGUAUUGUUUUUAUAUUUUAUGAUUUGGGUUUAUUCGUCUUGCAGGUAUUGUGGGUGAACGCAUAUGCAAUCAGGUUUAUUUUUGAAUUGAGAAACAUUUAUGGUUUAUAUAUUUUAAUUAAAGAGAAAACAAGCAAAACACAAUGUAAAAUCAAUUUUGCAUUCCAAAUGGUCCCCUAUUCCCAAUAUAGUACACUACUAAAUGGCAUGAUAUGGCUCUGGGUGAAAGUAGUUAACUAUAUGGGGGACAUUUAGGAGACAGUCCAACUCUCAAUUUCUGUCAACAGUUUAUUAUUGGACCGCUGAUCUAAAAUGUGAUUCUGGAUGAAAACCUUAAUCUCUUCUAUGCCUUGGCUCUUAACGUUGCACAUUUCUCUCAUGAAUGGAAUAUGUAACAAGCAAUACUGUUUAUAAUAAAUAAAAUAAAAAGUGCUUUUUUCAAUACUG
Long non-coding RNA from Oncorhynchus kisutch (coho salmon), 2822 nucleotides. RefSeq lists it as uncharacterized. NCBI's taxonomy places the organism in Eukaryota, Metazoa, Chordata, Actinopteri, Salmoniformes, Salmonidae. The record is from RefSeq and is a predicted model, not a curated record. The transcript is spliced from 4 exons.